This 425-nucleotide ribosomal RNA is filed under the name uncultured bacterium. RNAcentral's name for it is "bacterial SSU rRNA". It matches the Rfam family "Bacterial small subunit ribosomal RNA", at positions 354 to 796 of the family's 1533-position model. The record is from RNAcentral.
GUGGGGAAUCUUAGACAAUGGGGGAAACCCUGAUCUAGCCAUGCCGCGUGAGCGAUGAAGGCCUUAGGGUUGUAAAGCUCUUUCAGCUGGGAAGAUAAUGACUGUACCAGCAGAAGAAGCCCCGGCUAACUCCGUGCCAGCAGCCGCGGUAAUACGGAGGGGGCUAGCGUUGUUCGGAAUUACUGGGCGUAAAGCGCACGUAGGCGGACCGGAAAGUCAGAGGUGAAAUCCCAGGGCUCAACCUUGGAACUGCCUUUGAAACUCCUGGUCUUGAGGUCGAGAGAGGUGAGUGGAAUUCCGAGUGUAGAGGUGAAAUUCGUAGAUAUUCGGAGGAACACCAGUGGCGAAGGCGGCUCACUGGCUCGAUACUGACGCUGAGGUGCGAAAGCGUGGGGAGCAAACAGGAUUAGAUACCCGGGUAGUCC